GAUGAACGCUGGCGGCGUGCCUAAUACAUGCAAGUCGAGCGAACGGACGAGAAGCUUGCUUCUCUGAUGUUAGCGGCGGACGGGUGAGUAACACGUGGAUAACCUACCUAUAAGACUGGGAUAACUUCGGGAAACCGGAGCUAAUACCGGAUGAUAUUUUGAACCGCAUGGUUCAAAAGUGAAAGACGGUCUUGCUGUCACUUAUAGAUGGAUCCGCGCUGCAUUAGCUAGUUGGUAAGGUAACGGCUUACCAAGGCAACGAUGCAUAGCCGACCUGAGAGGGUGAUCGGCCACACUGGAACUGAGACACGGUCCAGACUCCUACGGGAGGCAGCAGUAGGGAAUCUUCCGCAAUGGGCGAAGGCCUGACGGAGCAACGCCGCGUGAGCGAUGAAGGUCUUCGGAUCGUAAAACUCUGUUAUUAGGGAAGAACAUAUGUGUAAGUAACUGUGCACAUCUUGACGGUACCUAAUCAGAAAGCCACGGCUAACUACGUG
This 497-nucleotide ribosomal RNA is filed under the name uncultured bacterium. RNAcentral describes it as "partial 16S ribosomal RNA". It matches the Rfam family "Bacterial small subunit ribosomal RNA", at positions 28 to 507 of the family's 1533-position model. The record is from RNAcentral.